GUGCAAGGUACCUGACUUCACAACCACUUAACAAGUCCUCCCUUCAGGAACCCCACUACUGAAUACCAGGAUUUCAAGGCUCCCACUAUUCAUCCCUUCUCCAGCCAAGUAAAACCAGACAAGACAGUCAGUCAUGAUGUGUUCAGCUUUAUCGGCAUAGUUUCCUUGUGUGCCCAAAAGCAGGACUCCAUAGAACAAAGAUAGGACAACACAACAGGACUCAAAGAUAGGGACUGUGCCAGGAGAGUUGGUGGGUCUGCCUUUGUCACUGCUCCAGCUGUGCCUUAACAUGACCCCACUUCCAGAGCAAUAUCACCAUAAGUGCCAUCUUCUUGAGGGAAUCCUUGGGACUUGAUACCACUGUGUUAUUUUCAGUAUCAUACAAAUAAAACAAAAACGUGCAUAGAAAAACCCAGGCAUGACAUACAAAAUAAAUCAACACACUUGCAGGGACACUGUGAAUAAACAUGCACAUAGAUUGAAAUGAGAGAGUGGAUGUUAAGUAGGAGUAGGAGUAUAGCAUCUAGUAGAGACAUUUGGGAAACUAAGCAAGCAGAUAAGGAGCAAGCAGACAUAUCUGACCCCUAAACCCAGAAAAAAAAAUCAUUGGAAACACAAAAGGAUAUACAACACUUGCUAGCAUGAUUUAUUGCUUGUUUUCCUUAUGUUUGAUUUUUAUUAUUCUGUAUCAAUGUAGAAAGCCAUCAGCAAGCUUUCAAAAAUGUUUUUGUUCACUUAUACCACUACAAAAACAACCCAUACCAUUUGCAUACCAGUCUCAUCCCACCCAAAAGUGCAGUCCAGAUCCCUCUGCACAAGAGAUACAGCACUCCCAGACUAUUGUUUCAGCCUCCUUUGGAUGUUGUCAGCAAAUUACAGCUGAUACCCCAUCUAGGCUAAGUGAGUAUAGGGUCCUUUUAACUUAGGGAGAAGUAAAUUAAGGAAGUGAAUUAGAGAAUUACAGUUCCCAAGUUGUUCUACGCUGAGAUGAUGGGCAGGCUGCUGGGCUAAGUCAGUAAGAAAGCAGAACAGAGUAGCUCUGUGAUUACUUACACCAGGUAUGCAAAAUACGGAUAAAAAAUCCACUGUUGUAUGUGCACUAAUCAGCCACAAAAUGAAAAUCACCUGCCUAAUAUCACGUAGAUCUCCCUCGUGCUGCCAAAACAGCUCUGAUGAAUUGAAGCAUGGACUCCACAAAACCGUUGAAAGUAUUCUGUGGUGUCUGGCACCAAUACAUGAACAGCAUAUCUUUUUAAGUCCUGAAAGUUGUGAGGUAAAGACUCCAUGAAUCAGAUUUUUUGUUCCAGC
Non-coding RNA from Pelobates cultripes (western spadefoot toad), 1308 nucleotides. The record is from the annotation of a GenBank genome assembly. Lineage: Eukaryota; Metazoa; Chordata; Amphibia; Anura; Pelobatidae.